RNAcentral lists this ribosomal RNA (253 nucleotides) under uncultured bacterium. RNAcentral describes it as "partial 16S ribosomal RNA". It matches the Rfam family "Bacterial small subunit ribosomal RNA", at positions 524 to 776 of the family's 1533-position model. The record is from RNAcentral.
GACGAACCGAGCGAACGUUGUUCGGAAUCACUGGGCUUAAAGGGCGCGUAGGCGGGCUGUCAAGUCUGGGGUGAAAUCCCGCGGCUCAACCGCGGAACUGCCUCAGAUACUGACGGUCUCGAGGGAGAUAGGGGCGAGCGGAACUGUGAGUGGAGCGGUGAAAUGCGUUGAUAUUCACAGGAACUCCGGUGGCGAAGGCGGCUCGCUGGAUCUCUUCUGACGCUGAGGCGCGAAAGCCAGGGGAGUAAACGGG